This is a non-coding RNA of Zonotrichia albicollis (white-throated sparrow), 9677 nucleotides long. NCBI's taxonomy places the organism in Eukaryota, Metazoa, Chordata, Aves, Passeriformes, Passerellidae. The record is from RefSeq and is a predicted model, not a curated record.
UUUCAGCUUCAGUUUGUCGCUGAAAUCCUAUACAGUAAGGCUUUAGUUUCAAUAGCUCUCCAAUGAUUAAUCAUUUUCUAUAGUUUCAUGCAGACUCAUUAGUAUAUUCUAACUUACUUUCUCUACUUUGUUUAAAAACCCCAGACUGAUUAGCUCUGUGCAGCCAGAUUUUCCCCAAAGAAUUGGAAGUCUUGGUUAUAAUCAACAAGGGAAUAAAACAAAGGAGAACAAGAGAGACAAAAAAAUUAUUCUAGAAACCUUUCCAUAGAGGUAAGUGCUGCCCUCUCACUUGUAGGGUUAUUAUUUAAAAGUCUUACAAGUAAUUUUAAAUGCUCUUUUAGAGGCAGAAUACAGUGCUAUUCAUCUUCACCAGGAAGGAAUAGAAAUGGGUGAGGGAAUUCUCUUUUAGAUAUGAUGAAUUUAGUUUAAAACUGAACAGUCACGUAAGAUCUCUGGCAUUGCUGGGGUGUUAGUUUGGACAGAUGACAGGAUGAUGGAUAAGGUUUUGAUUCAACAGCACAGAACAGGUUUUUUUAAGCGUGUUGCAAAUAAAACCAAUCAAAGAUGACUCAUGCUGGGAAAAAAGAAAGCAAACAGGACAUAUAGCUGCAAAAAACCCUCACAGAAAGCAGGAUGGCUUCAAAGAACAGCUUCCUGAAAAGGAGUCUAAAAGAGAGAAAGAGGAAGAAAAAGAAGGAAUCAGCUGUUGUGACAACUGCAAAGUCAUCCAGGCUUUGAAGAAAGAAUUCAUCCUGAGGUUUGCCUAGGAAAUUAAUAUCUUUUCAUUAAAGUAAAGGAAAUACAAAUUGGACAUUUCUAUCAGAGUUCCAGAAGAGAAGUCCUAGACAACUUUUGGAUAUACACUGGCCAUGAGCUGAAGAUGAAGAGAAGAGGGAGGUGGAGAAGCUGUGAGAAAUAACUCAGCACACAUCCGUGGGGCCCUGCACAUUCCACUUGGUCUGUCUUUUCUUGGUGUUCACGUGCCUUCUCCAAUCAGCAAGACUGUCAGAACAGAAACGCAGACGGGCCGGGCGCGGAAGGUGGGUAACCCGAGGAGCACCAGUGUGAUGGGAGAGAUAAUGAGUAACUCCACAAGUUAUUGGCUCAUUAACAAUGCCCUACAGGAAGGAAUUUUCUGCCUAAUAAUAGAAGGAGCACAAGCACAGAUUCCCAGUAUGAUCUGCAGCCUGUUUAAUCCCACUGCUUUGGGAGUAGAGCUCUUGAUUCCUCCCUUUCUCUGGCACUUACAUAAUUUGGGCACUGAAGUGCUAACUCUAUUAUAUGGUUCAACAUGAAAAUGGAGAGUUUUUUCAAGCUUCGUUAAUGUACUGUUGCAAAAAUUGGCCUCAACUGAAGCUCAGUCAUUUUCCAAGACUCACAAUCCUCAGCAGAAGUUGUUGCUGAAAAUAAUAAGAUACGUUUUUGAAAAGCAAAAACGACUACAAAAUAUCGCAUAUGAUUCAAAAUGGAGAACUCAGAAUAGAUAAAAACUCUGCCAUAUAAUUCAUCUGAAAAAUAUUCCUUUUGGGCCACUAUGCUAAAUUUAAUCCUAGCCACAGUUGCUAUGCCAAAAAUGGUCUAAGAAAACAGUCCAUAUUUUGGCCAAUCUGGUCAGUACCACCUUCAUAAUGUCUAUCUCAAAAUACUGACCUAAAUUUAGAAGUAUAAAGUUACUGUGAGAACAAUGCUUUUGCAUCCUAAAAAAUUCUGAUUGCAUCUGUUUUCAUGGAGAACAAAGGAAACUGCAUUUUCCAAACCAAAGGUAUUGCAAAUCUCCAUCUUAUAAAGAACCCUAGGAAAAGAAAUCAUCUGCAGUUUCAAACCAAAUGUUCUCUGAUUACUGAACCCAAACAAAUGUUUCUGUCUCAAAAACAAGUUUGUACUUCAGGUUUCUCUAAAUAUACAUGCCAAGUAUUUUUAUUUGGGUACAAAUAAUAUUUUAAAUAAGAGGGGGGGAAAAAAGGAAUCAAAAAGUAGUUUUUAGUUUCCAGUGAUUGUGAGAAAACAGAUUAUACGUAUUCUACACAAUUCAAGGCACAUGUAUUCAUUAUUCAUUUUUAUUCUGAAGGUGCUAUUUUUGAUAACUUAUCUUGUUUUUCAUACAUGUUGCACUCUCUAGCAGUGAAAUAAUUGCACUGUCAAUAGCAGAGAUAACUCCCUGAAAGAAUGAUGCUGUAAUGGGAAUAAUGACAUAAUGUUUCAUGUAUCUUAACUGAUUCUAAUUAGCAAAACAUUUACAACAUGCCAGCAAAAGAGAAUUGAUACACAGAACUGAAAGCCUUAUUACCUGAUGCAAUGGACAUUUUGAGAAGUGAAUAUAAGUAGACAAUAUUAUCACAGUGCCGUAUACAUUAUUCAACUCAACUAAGUUUCCCAAACAACCAGCCUUAACCAAGUAAAAUUCUGGUUUAGAAAUAAAAUGAGACAAGAAGGUCCUACUUACUCAACAGAAGUUUAAUGUGAAUGCACAGAGCGACAGGCAACUUGUAAUUCCUUCAUUUUUUACUUCUCUAUAGCCUUGUAUUCCUUCCAUGCUUUACAGAUCCUAAACAGGGAGGUCAGAGCAAGCAGGGUAGAACUAAUGAAGCCUCUACCUGGAUAUGCUGGUUUUGUUGGCAUAGUCCAGACUCUUAACCCUUGGCAGCCCAACUGGAUGCUAAAAUGCCACAUUGAAAGUUUUAAAGAAAGCAUUUGUAGAUAAUUUAGACUGCUUGUACCAGAUUUGGGUUAAAAUGCAAAAAAACCCCAAAAAAAACCCAACAAAAACAAUGCAUUUUAGCUGCGGGACAGAGUUUGAGACUCUGCAGCUUUAGAACCAAACAGAUUUGCAAUGACAAUGACAGGGGAGCAGCAGGCAUGAGGUGACACAGUGGCAUCAGUGCCCUCCCUGCCCUGAAUGGAUCUGCAGCUUGGUCUUUAUCCAACACUCACUUGUUCUGCAGAAGCCUUUUCAGAACACAAGAUGCACAAAACAGAAGUAGUACCUCUAGGACAAGCAGAAUGAUCCUUUGUGCUCUGAUAAGCACUGGAAAGGCUUCAGCUAGAGAGCUGCCUCUGCUUUUGGACACCACCUUCCAAACAGGAAUUAAAGGAGGGAGAAUUAUUUAAGGAGCAGCAGUAGUGACAAGAAACAAUGUGAAAUGUUUAAGCUUUAAUGUUAAGGAAGAUGAUAUAGAAGAGAUUUGAUAAUAUGUAAAUGACUCAUUCAUUUAAUCCCUCUUUCAUGGAAGGCAGUACCAGGAAUAAGUGAAGCAAGAAAGAUUUUGGCUAAUAAAUAGAAAAAAAAAAUCUAAAGAUAAGGAGAGGUAUAUACAUCUUCUCCCUAGAAGUGAGGUUGACAGCUGUCAGGAAUGACAGCAGUAUGGUUGAUCCUCUUGGGUACAAAAGAAUGAAUCAGACAACCUCAGGGAGCCUGGUUCUUGAGACUGCACUUGAAAUACCUGCAAACUGGGUGUCUUUGAAACAUGAUCCAAAUGCACAGAAAGGGCUCAAUAGCACUGCAAAGAACUUCAGGGAUUUGAUUUUGUAAUACUGUUAAGGAAGAGGAGCCAUGCCAAGAUAUGAGUUCCUUCCAUAUUUGAGAGAAAUACUGAAUAAAGAUUUAAAUUCUCAGUUAUUUGAGAUUGUUGAAAUUCUCAGACACUAUUUAUGAUGAAUCUUGAGACUAAACAGACAAAAGCCUCCAAAAGGGAUAAUAUUGGAUGAGCAGGACUGUCUCAAGUUCAUAGGAUUGGCAGGCCAGUGUUAAAAGAAAUCUUCAAGCUGGUAAAAAAAAAAAAAAAUAGAGAAGUCUGUAAUUUUCCAUUAUCACUUCUUCAGUAAUGUUUUCUCUAUUAAAAUAACAUCUGUUGAUUAAUUAAACACCUUAGCAUAAUAAUCAAUGCACAAAAGAAUAAACCUCCAAUAUUGAUUAAAGCUUGCUUUGAAAACCGCUUUGAGCUCUUUAAUCACAGUUUGUGGAGAGAUGGUAUUUUCUAGAACAAAACAGAGCAGCAUGGCAAGUGUGAAAGUGUGACAGAAGAAAGGUACACAAUAUGUAACUGUUUAGCUGGGGAUGUUGAAACAAAGCAUGUUCAGCAAUGGAAUAAUGUGACGGGUAAUUUACAGUGAUCUGAUGGAAGCUGACUGAAUGCCAAAUAACCUGGCUUAGUCACUUUUUUUUUUGUCUUGCAGAUACUUUGAGUAUCUUUUUUCAAAGCUGGCUGUAAUUGACACAUUAGAUUAGCUACUAGACCACCUGCAAGGAAUAAAAAGUGAUGAACGUUGAUGUUUAUGUUUGCUAGGGCCAUUCAGGAGCAAUGAGCUUGAUCCUUCCUCUACCAUCCAAGUACAGAAAAUUAUGAGCCUCCAUGUGGAUAACAGUGAGGGUGAUAGCUUUUGUACACUUUUCCUCUUUUGAGAACUAAUUCCCUAAAUAAUAUAUACAAAUUAAUACAUAUUUGGAUGAAAUGCAAAGACUUUGGAGGACAAGCUGGGAACAUUGCAGGCUCUGGUCACUGAAAGCCACAGAAAGGCUCUUGAUGACUUCCGUAGAUAAUGGAUUAGAAAUAAAUAUAUUUGGAUUUUUACUUCCCCCAACUGAGAAUCUUUAAGUAAUUAACACAUAAUGCCUUAGAUUGGUCAUGCCAGGUUAGUGCCUUUCAUGUUAAAGAAACCACUUCCUAGAAAAUCAAGUUGAUAACAUGGUAAACAAUUAAAAGUUACUUUGUUUUCCAUAUGUAUCCAAAUUUAUCUAAUUUUAUAAACCAAAUGAGGAAAGUCCUGUAUGCAAGACUAAAAAUACAACAGCCCCACAGCCUUUCAUAUGACUUUUUGCCUAUGUCCAGACUGUGACAAAUCACACCAGGAUUUGAUUCAGUAUAUCCAGAGAACUGGAAAGCAAAAUUGUUCCAUAUAAUUUAUAGUUUCGUUACUCACAUUUUUUAAAGGCAUAGCAGUUGCAAUUUGGAUUUAUUCUUCUAUGUUAUUAAUUUCAAGUCAAUUAUAAUGCAAGGAAGUUACACAGUCUGUUAAGUGUUGCUCUGAUGAGCUUGGGGCUGUUUUUCUGAGAAACAGGAAAUGAUGAAGUCUGUGGAACUGAAUGAUACCUUCCCAUGUAAAUAUGAUUCUGCAAGGCCACUGCCCCUUCCUAUGCUAUGAACCAAAAAAGCAACUUUUAUAGUUAUUAUCCCAACAUUCUACAUAUAUAUGACAGAACCUGCCAGCCAAAACCUGCAAACCUACAAUUAUCCAGUGCAGCAACUCCAAUUAUUUCUGUAAAUGUUUUUGUUUGGUACAAUCCUUCUGUUUCUGUCACCAAUACUCUGUUUUUACAGAUGAGCCACAUCCAGUUCUGUUUAUCUUCUGUCUUUUUACCUACAAUGCAUUAACUAGUUCCAGUGGCUUUCUUGAAAGCAUAAUGACUUUUCCUGCACUCUAGUGAAAAUAUAUCCCCACAAAUCAAGAAGAAGCAGGUUCAGACUAAGUGGUUGAGAAGAUUUACAUUCUAUUGCUAACUCAGUUAUUACUCUGCUGAAAACCCCAUAGCAUCAAUAUAAUGAAUCCCUCAACCUCUGCUGCUAGCACAAUUUUUCUUCCCAACCUCAUUGGCUCCCAACUUUCUGCUUGACCUUUUACAAUCUGUGUGUGGCAGAGCUUCAUUACAACCUUUUAAUGAUGCACAAAUGGCACACAACACCAAGGUCACAGCACAUCCCCAGUGAGAACUUCUCCAACACCUCCUGAGCAGGCAAAGAGUUUGCAUUUAAAGAGACAGUUCAACCAAAUUUACAAUUUAGCAUGAGUCUCAGCAGCUACUAAUACCCACCAGAAAUGCCAUAAAAGGAGUAUCUGCUCCCCAAAAAUGUUUUUCUUAAUAAAAGUCAAAAUCUCAAGCCAUCAGUGACCAAAUGAAUAAAAUGUGUUGCUGAAGAAACUCAGGAAAAUUACAGUGCUUUUCUGUAUAAAAAAAAUAUUUAAUUCUUAAAAAUAGAAAAAAAAGUAUACAGAAGGGAUAGAAACACUCAUCCAUCUAGAAUACCAGAAAUUUUUCUAAUGUCUCAGCAGUCAGGUUAUGCAUUCCACACCAAAUAAUCACCCACUUUUUGUUAACACAGUUCAAUCUCUGUUCUGCAAUUUUCCAACUGGGAUGCAGGGAUGCCAAUGUUUAGGCCUAUUUCAAAAGUAUUUCAGGGUUUUGUACUGAGAGUCCUAUAUAAAUUCAAAGCAUCUUGCUAUUCAAGCAUGUAGACUGUAAAGCACAUUAUUCAGUAUUGGUUAAUGCAAAGUCACUGCAUACAUGCAUAUAUUGCACCUCAGUUACUGCUCAAGCACAGAACAAUGUUUCAAGUGAAUAUUUAAUAUUACCUUCUAUGCUUUUGGUAUAUGGAGCAAUUAAUUCUCAAACCCAUAGAAUUCCAUCUAAAGUUACCUAUUAGGCAAUGGCAUGUUCCUUUACUUUUGGCACUUUGAUCUUCUCUUUCUAAUACAUAUAUAUGUAUAUAUAAUAAAUAUUUCCAUUCACUGUGUGCAGGUACCUGCAUGCAAAAGUACACUCAGUGCACUUGCCUUGCUCAGCUCUUUUCUCUUACAAUGGGGGAAAUUAGGAAUAACAAGCAAUUCAGUGCAGCCAGACAUUCACUGCGCAGCUAAUCUGUGAGGAGAUUCAGCACCAAACUAACCUGUAUCUCAUGACUGAAAUUACAAUGUUCAUGAAAUAACAGAACACUUCCAAUGAUGAGGAUCCACAGCUUCUCUGGACAACUUGUUCCACCACCAUCGUUGUAAAAAAUGUCUCCCUAAUGCCCAGUAUAAAUCUUGCCUCAUUCAGCUUAAAACCAUUGCCCCUUGUCCUGUCUGUACUUGGCAAAGUCUCUUUUCCAUGCUUCUUACAAGCUCCUGUAAUAUAUCAAAAGGCCACAAUAAGGUCUCCCUCUUGUCCAGGCAGAGCAAUUCCAGUUCUCUCAGCCUCUCUCCAUAGCAGAGGUGCUCCAGCCCUCAGAGCAUUUCCCUAUCCCUUGUCUGACCCCAUUUAAUGAGUGCACAUCUCUCUUGCACUGGGGGCCCCAGAGCUGGGUGCAGCACUGGAGGUGGGGUCUCACCAGAGCAGAGGGGCAGGAUCACCUCUCUCAACCUGAUGAUCAAUUAAUUGAAUUAAAUAGGUCACUUUCUACUCCCUGAAUUGCCACUGACACUUUUGACUUUCUCAUUCUACUUCCAUUUCCCCAUUUGUAAAAUUACAUGACAUGUUUUCCUCACCCAUAGAAAAGCAUAAUUUAAUGAUUGUUGAAGUCAUGAAGAUGUCUGAAAUCCUAGGACACACACAGCAAUCUAAAAAUGCCAUGCUUAUGAUUGUAGGUAUUUGUCUAUUAUUAAACAUCAAGAAAAAAACAAUCCCUGAUACUAGUACAGUUUUACUACUGGCAUACUGCCCUGGAUCUGAAACAGUGUGGAAAAAACCCAAAGCAACAAAAACCAUUGAUCUUGGACACUUGAACUCUGCUUCCUUUGGACAAAGACUGCCAGGGUCAAACUCUCUUUUCAUGACUUUCAAAGAAGUAACUACUAAAUUGUUCUGGAUUUACAAGAAGAUAAAUAAAAGCAGAUACUGGCUGUGAUCCUUUUAACAGCUUGUACAAAUACACAGAUUUGGUGCAAGAAUACAAUGUGAGUUUUACUGCCCUUGAAAGAGUCUUGAAAAGCAGCACAUCUAAUGCACUUAUAAAAUGACACCAAACAAAACCAAAUACACAAAACCAACCAAGCACUGUGGGUAAAACCAAAAAUCUGGUCUCUAAGUCUGGCCAGAGAAUCCCAAAGGCUCCUUUGUCACACUGCCCCAAAAUCCUCACCCAGCCUCCAGCAAUGCAUAGCUCAAACAUUGUGAGGCAGACUGAUGUUUACAAAUCAUAAAUGGAUCAGUAAUAAUUAAUUUUUCUUCUUACUUCCCUCUUUGGUCCUAUUUGGCUGGUUUGCUAUUUAUACCAGAGAAUUAAUUUGAAGUAGUAGGAGUCAAAUAUGCAUGUGAAAUAUAUUAUUUUUUAAAAGAAGGCAAGCUCAAUAUAAUGUCUGACAUAGCCACUAAUAAAAAAAUUCAAGUUCAAGGCUGGAUUUUGAUCUUGCAAUCCUGUAACUAGAGUUGCAUCUGCACAAGGUAAUACACGAUAUGGAGGCAGUAAGACAACCAGUAAAGGACAUAAUUCCUUCCAGAACUGGAAAAAAAAAAUCCCACAACUAACAAAAACCCUCCAACAGACUAAAAAAGUUCACUGUGAGUUACUUUGCAAAAUGUUCUACAAGUUUCUUGCUAGAAUGACUACUACAGCUAUGGCUUCUAAGGGAAAAAUCCAGGAUUUUAUUUUAGGGACUACAGCUAGACUUUCCAUAUGCCACUCAGACAGUAGGAGGUUCAUACACACUGUAUAAAGCAGCCAUAGGCAGAUGCCUCAAUCCACUUUUUGAAACUUUUCCUCUUCUUUUCCAUAUUUGGAAAAUUGUAUUUCACUUUCCUCACAUUUUUAAAAAUAUACUUAGUAGCCCCCAGCUGUGCAUCUCUAUCCAAGGUGGGAGUUGGAUGCAUUUCACAGGAUAUGUCUGGUCUGCAUCUGCAGAUCUUGAAACCAAACAGCUCGAAACUUCUGAGUUUUUUAAUAAUGGAAGUACCAGGAUUUGUCUUUUAAUUAAUUAGAUAGAAAUUGGUCUUCAAUUGCAAAUUUUGAAGGUUUUUUUUUUCUUUGUUAACAGCCUCUAAAUUACCAAAAGAUAAGACUCCACAUAAAUCAAUCCACAGUCCCAAUACUUUCAUUAGCAUGGCCAUGAAAUUAUAGCAGAAUGACAAAGAGACUGUAUGUAAUUAAGCAGGAGGAGAAUAGAAACAACUCAAAGUGUCAAUCAACAAAUAAUGAAGUGUAAUGUACAAAAACAGGAAACAGUAAGUGGGGUUUAAUGCAAUUGUUAUUAAAAAAACUUACACCAUCAAAACAUUCCCUUAAGGACCUAGCAUUUCUGAAGUAUAAUGGAAGUUCAUUUCUUAUUAAUUUUAUCAGUUUCACAUACAAAAGGACAAUAAAAAAUUGUCAUUUGAUGAAGCUGAGACUUCCCUAAGUUUACAGCAUAUUGCAGUUCACAAUGGUAAGGUUUUAAUACAUUAAUGUGCUGGGAGACGCUUUUUUGAUAGAGAAAAAAAGGGAGCAUCAAGUGAUAUAUAUUAAUAUAUACCCCUACAGAGAAUAUAAGGAUUUCAGUUUGGAAUUUGAUUACAGAAAAUUCGGGAAUAAAUAUUGUUAUUUCUUUUUUAAGAGUGGAGGAAGAUGUGCAGUAGCUUUGAGGAAAUGGAGAGGUUGGAGGCAGGACAGAGAAUGGAGAUUUAUUUGUGGUUGGGAAGUAAGGUCCAAACCUUCAUGGAAAACAAAGCUCAAAUUCAGUCUAAAGCAUGGAGAGCAAAUUGGAAACCUGCAUCUGCUGCACAUGAUAUCAGGAGGCAGCUGGAAAUGAAAGCCUGAGUCCAUCAGCGGCAAGACCCCCAAUGUGGUGCUGAUAAAGGAAUUCCAGACCCACUGACCACAACCAGGAGGCAAAUCCAGCCUCAUACACAGAAAACCCAGUGUGUGCUGAGCAGAGAGAGACCACCAGGCUUCUGCUAAGAAAAACACCUUACUGCUAGCAUUUAUAGUAUGAAAUAUAAAAAUUAAAAAUAUAAU